AUUGAACGCUGGCGGCAUGCCUUACACAUGCAAGUCGAACGGCAGCACGGGAGCUUGCUCCUGGUGGCGAGUGGCGAACGGGUGAGUAAUACAUCGGAACGUACCCUGAAGUGGGGGAUAACGUAGCGAAAGUUACGCUAAUACCGCAUAUUCUGUGAGCAGGAAAGAGGGGGAUCGCAAGACCUCUUGCUUUAGGAGCGGCCGAUGUCGGAUUAGCUAGUUGGUGAGGUAAAGGCUCACCAAGGCGACGAUCCGUAGCGGGUCUGAGAGGAUGAUCCGCCACACUGGGACUGAGACACGGCCCAGACUCCUACGGGAGGCAGCAGUGGGGAAUUUUGGACAAUGGGCGCAAGCCUGAUCCAGCCAUGCCGCGUGAGUGAAGAAGGCCUCGGUUGUAAGACUCUUCGGUUGGGGAAGGAAAGUUAGCUUC
This 430-nucleotide ribosomal RNA is filed under the name uncultured bacterium. RNAcentral describes it as "bacterial SSU rRNA". It matches the Rfam family "Bacterial small subunit ribosomal RNA", at positions 30 to 460 of the family's 1533-position model. The record is from RNAcentral.